GUCUCUGUGGCUCAGUCGGUAGAGCGUUGGUCUCAUAUGACAUACAUAUGACGCUAGAGUAUCUAGGGAUAUCCAAAGGUCGCAAGUUCGAGCCUUGCCAGGGACA
This is a transfer RNA of Colletotrichum salicis, 106 nucleotides long. It matches the Rfam family "tRNA". Rfam says of the family: Transfer RNA (tRNA) molecules are approximately 80 nucleotides in length. Their secondary structure includes four short double-helical elements and three loops (D, anti-codon, and T loops). The record is from Rfam. Lineage: Eukaryota; Fungi; Ascomycota; Sordariomycetes; Glomerellales; Glomerellaceae.